CCUAGUACGAGAGGACCGGAGUGGACGCAUCACUGGUGUUCGGGUUGUCAUGCCAAUGGCACUGCCCGGUAGCUAAAUGCGGAAGAGAUAAGUGCUGAAAGCAUCUAAGCACGAAACUUGCCCCGAGAUGAGUUCUCCCUGAGCCUUUAAGGCUCCUGAAGGAACGUUGAAGACGACGACGUUGAUAGGUCGGGUGUGUAAGCGCAGCGAUGCGUUGAGCUAACCGAUACUAAUGAACCGUGAGGCUUAACCUU
This 254-nucleotide ribosomal RNA is filed under the name Enterobacter sichuanensis. Its description in RNAcentral is "partial 23S ribosomal RNA". It matches the Rfam family "Bacterial large subunit ribosomal RNA", at positions 2677 to 2925 of the family's 2925-position model. Lineage: Bacteria; Pseudomonadati; Pseudomonadota; Gammaproteobacteria; Enterobacterales; Enterobacteriaceae. The record is from RNAcentral.